GACGACGCUGGCGGCGCGCCUAACACAUGCAAGUCGAACGAGCGAGAGAGAGCUUGCUUUCUCGAGCGAGUGGCGAACGGGUGAGUAACGCGUGAGGAACCUGCCUCAAAGAGGGGGAUAACAGUUGGAAACGACUGCUAAUACCGCAUAAGCCCACGGUGCCGCAUGGCACAGAGGGAAAAGGAGUGAUCCGCUUUGAGAUGGCCUCGCGUCCGAUUAGCUAGCUGGUGAGGUAAUGGCCCACCAAGGCGACGAUCGGUAGCCGGACUGAGAGGUUGAACGGCCACAUUGGGACUGAGACACGGCCCAGACUCCUACGGGAGGCAGCAGGUGGGGAAUAUUGCACAAUGGGGGGAACCCUGAUGCAGCGACGCCGCGUGGAGGAAGAAGGUCUUCGGAUUGUAAACUCCUGUUGUUGGGGAAGAUAAUGACGGUACCCAACAAGGAAGUGACGGCUAACUACGUG
RNAcentral lists this ribosomal RNA (466 nucleotides) under uncultured bacterium. Its description in RNAcentral is "bacterial SSU rRNA". It matches the Rfam family "Bacterial small subunit ribosomal RNA", at positions 33 to 507 of the family's 1533-position model. The record is from RNAcentral.